AGUGAACGCUGGCGGUAGGCCUAACACAUGCAAGUCGAACGGCAGCACAGUAAGAGCUUGCUCUUACGGGUGGCGAGUGGCGGACGGGUGAGGAAUACAUCGGAAUCUACUUUUUCGUGGGGGAUAACGUAGGGAAACUUACGCUAAUACCGCAUACGACCUACGGGUGAAAGCAGGGGAUCUUCGGACCUUGCGCGAUUGAAUGAGCCGAUGUCGGAUUAGCUAGUUGGCGGGGUAAAGGCCCACCAAGGCGACGAUCCGUAGCUGGUCUGAGAGGAUGAUCAGCCACACUGGAACUGAGACACGGUCCAGACUCCUACGGGAGGCAGCAGUGGGGAAUAUUGGACAAAGGGCGCAAGCCUGAUCCAGCCAUACCGUGUGGGUGGAGAAGGCCUUCGGGUUGUAAAGCCCUUUUGUUGGGAAAGAAAAGCAGCAGGUUAAUACCCCGCUGUUCUGACGGUACCCAAAGAAUAAGCACCGGCUAACUUCGUG
Molecule: ribosomal RNA, 492 nt
Filed under: uncultured bacterium
Lineage: Bacteria
Description: partial 16S ribosomal RNA
Rfam family: Bacterial small subunit ribosomal RNA
Source: RNAcentral